This 389-nucleotide ribosomal RNA is filed under the name uncultured bacterium. RNAcentral describes it as "bacterial SSU rRNA". It matches the Rfam family "Bacterial small subunit ribosomal RNA", at positions 29 to 444 of the family's 1533-position model. The record is from RNAcentral.
AGCGAACGCUGGCGGCAGGCUUAACACAUGCAAGUCGAACGGGCAUAGCAAUAUGUCAGUGGCAGACGGGUGAGUAACGCGUGGGAACAUACCUCUUGGUUCGGAACAACACAGGGAAACUUGUGCUAAUACCGGAUAAGCCCUUACGGGGAAAGAUUUAUCGCCGAGAGAUUGGCCCGCGUCUGAUUAGCUAGUUGGUGUGGUAAAAGCGCACCAAGGCGACGAUCAGAGCUGGUCUGAGAGGAUGAUCAGCCACAUUGGGACUGAGACACGGCCCAAACUCCUACGGGAGGCAGCAGUGGGGAAUAUUGGACAAUGGGCGCAAGCCUGAUCCAGCCAUGCCGCGUGAGUGAUGAAGGCCUUAGGGUUGUAAAGCUCUUUUGUACGGG